This 805-nucleotide ribosomal RNA is filed under the name uncultured bacterium. RNAcentral describes it as "bacterial SSU rRNA". It matches the Rfam family "Bacterial small subunit ribosomal RNA", at positions 8 to 796 of the family's 1533-position model. The record is from RNAcentral.
AGAGUUUGAUCAUGGCUCAGAGCGAACGUUAGCGGCGCGCCUAACACAUGCAAGUCGAGCGUGAAAGGGGCAACCUGAGUAAAGCGGCGGACGGGUGCGUAACACGUAGAUAACCUGCCCUUUGGAGGGGGAUAACGUUCCGAAAGGAACGCUAAUACCGCGUAAAGCGUUUGGUGGUUCGCCACUAGACGGCAAAGACUGGGACCCGCAAGGGCCAGUCGCCAGAGGAGGGGUCUGCGGCCCAUCAGCUAGUUGGUGAGGUAAUGGCUCACCAAGGCAAAGACGGGUAGCUGGUCUGAGAGGAUGAUCAGCCACACUGGUACUGGAACACGGACCAGACUCCUACGGGAGGCAGCAGUGGGGAAUCUUGGUCAAUGGGCGCAAGCCUGAACCAGCGACGCCGCGUGAGUGAUGAAGGCCUUCGGGUUGUAAAGCUCUGUGGGGAGGGACGAAAGAGCACGUUCUAACAGGACGUGUGUUGACGGUACCUCCUUAGCAAGCACCGGCUAACUCUGUGCCAGCAGCCGCGGUAAGACAGAGGGUGCAAACGUUGCUCGGAAUCACUGGGCGUAAGGGGCGUGUAGGCGGGCGUGCAAGUCAGGCGUGAAAUCCCUGGGCUCAACCCAGGAAUUGCACUUGAAACUGCACGUCUUGAGUAUCGGAGAGGAAAGUGGAAUUCCUGGUGUAGAGGUGAAAUUCGUAGAUAUCAGGAGGAACACCGGUGGCGAAGGCGGCUUUCUGGACGAUAACUGACGCUGAGACGCGAAAGCGUGGGGAGCAAACAGAUUAGAUACCCNNGUAGUCC